This 301-nucleotide ribosomal RNA is filed under the name uncultured bacterium. RNAcentral's name for it is "partial 16S ribosomal RNA". It matches the Rfam family "Bacterial small subunit ribosomal RNA", at positions 509 to 807 of the family's 1533-position model. The record is from RNAcentral.
CAGUAGCCGCGGUAAUACGGAGGGCGCGAGCGUUACCCGGAUUUACUGGGCGUAAAGGGCGUGUAGGCGGCCUGGGGCGUCCCAUGUGAAAGGCCACGGCUCAACCGUGGAGGAGCGUGGGAUACGCUCAGGCUAGAGGGUGGGAGAGGGUGGUGGAAUUCCCGGAGUAGCGGUGAAAUGCGCAGAUACCGGGAGGAACGCCGAUGGCGAAGGCAGCCACCUGGUCCACUACUGACGCUGAGGCGCGAAAGCGUGGGGAGCAAACCGGAUUAGAUACCCCUGUAGUCCCUGUCUCUUAUAC